Alexandromys fortis (reed vole) is the source of this 7350-nucleotide RNA transcript. It is a transcript of the gene named alpha and gamma adaptin binding protein, with no coding region annotated. The transcript has 11 exons. NCBI's taxonomy places the organism in Eukaryota, Metazoa, Chordata, Mammalia, Rodentia, Cricetidae. The record is from RefSeq and is a predicted model, not a curated record.
CGUUUCCCGGAUCGUCUCCCCCGCGCGCUGGCCGCAGUGGUGCGGUCCAAGGCGGAAGCAGCGCCGGCGCGGAACACGGUCUGCGGCAGCAAUGGCUGCGGGUGUCCCCUGCGCUCUGGUCACCAGCUGCUCCGCCACCUUCACCGGGGACCGGCUGGUGCAACAUAUCCUAGGAACAGAGGAUGCUGUUGUGGAAGCAGCUUCCAGCGAGGCCGUGAGGUUCUACCCCUGGACCAUCGACAACAAGUACUAUUCAGCAGAGGUCAAUCUGUGUGUGGUGCCAAGCAAGUUCCUGGUCACUGCUGAGAUCGCGGAGUCAGUCCAGGCGUUCGUGGUUUACUUUGACAGCACACAGAAAUCGGGUCUUGACAGUGUCUCCUCAUGGCUUCCCCUGGCAGAGGCAUGGUUACCCGAGGUGAUGAUCCUGGUCUGUGAUAGAGUCUGUGAAGACGGAGUAAACCGGCAGAAGGCUCAAGAGUGGUGCAUCAAACAUGGCUUUGAGCUGGUAGAGCUCAGCCCCGAGGAGCUGCCUGAGGAGGAUGAUGACUUCCCUGAAUCCACAGGUGUAAAGCGGAUUGUACAAGCGUUGAAUGCCAAUGUCUGGUCCAAUGUUGUGAUGAAGAAUGUGCACAUACUGUUCAUGGGGAGGAGAGCAAGAAAAACGUCAUCUCACUUUCCCUCUGUGUCACUGACCGAGCAGAGGAGCAUGUUCCUGGAUCUAGCACAAGUGGAGCCACGUGCAGUGCUGAGUCUAAGUGAGCCUAAGAGCCAAGGCUUCAGCCUCCUCAACUCGCUGGCUGGAGCAAACCGCAGCAUUGGAUCAGCAGAGAGCUGUCACUCAGAGCAGCAGGCCCGGUUGCCAGCAGCUGAGAGGAUAGAGUCCCUUCAGGGCCAUCGUGGUGGUGCAUGUGGCUCAGCAGGUGCACAGGUUGACAGCAUUGUGGGUGGCCAAAGCCUUCUGGAUGGCCAUAGGAGGAGACCGAGACGAGAUCGAAGGCCUUUCUUCCGACGAAGAGCACUAAAUCCUUCCUGCUGGGUUUGCCUGGCACUGAUGCCAGCACUGUGCACUCCAAGUGCUUCCCUGCUCAACCCGGUCCUGCUCUGCCAAGAUCGCCGUCAUCAUGCUGGCCGCUUGGCUGUGUGGGGUUCCCGUAGAGUCUGCCUGUGUGUGAUGUCUGCUCCUGCUUCUGAGACCUCAGCUGAUCGUCAGGGAUAUUGGCUGAGGGUCAGAGUUGCUGCUGAGCUGAUGCUGUGCUAACAGGUGCUACCUUCUGAUACACCCCGUGCAUGUAACUUAGAUCUCCAGAGUGCGCUGGGGGUAUACAGUGCCUGUGGAGGCCAGAAGGGUGCAAUGGACCAUCUGGGACUGGACUUACAGAUGGCUGUGAGCUGCCACGUGGGUGCUAGGAACAGAAGCCAGGUCCUCUGGAAGGGGAGCCAGUGCUCUUGGAAUGGUCUCCGAACAAUGACCAUUGAGAGAACAUGAGGUAUGCCUCUUGUCCUGCUGUGGCAUGCUGUAGCAAGCAGAAGGAUCAUGGUGGAAGGGUAAGAUGUGGGCUCUGAGGACUAUUUUGAGCAUGGGUGUUGGCUACUGCAAACUAAAUUUAACGUAUCUAGAAAGGUCAGGGGUUCUGGCUCAUUAGUGCUCUGCUUGAAGGAGAGCUUAAGCAAGUGUUCUGAUGACCCAGAUUUGCUCGUCACACGCCCAUCUACUAGUAUUAGAUCAUUAUCAAAUAGUACCAGAGUCCAAAGGGGAGAGAAAAUGCGAAUGCCUUCAACAGUAUGCUGAACCGGGGAUGGGCCUGAGGGCUGCUCAGUCUCUGCGCAGCUCGGCUGGUGUCUGCUCAGUGACCCACCCCACCCCUCUGGAACACACACUGAGUCUUGUGUUUCCUGCAUCUGCUCUGUGUUUUUACUAGGAGUGAAGCAGGUUCCAGUGUCGAGAAGUAUCUUGCUUGGUUCUGGAUGGAUUGUUCCUCUGAUGGUGGGAUGAACAGUUAACAAAAGAACCAGUGACAGUCAUGGGCACCUUUCUUUAGAAUGUUAGGGAGCCCCAUUCCUGUCUCCAACUGACUGAAUGGUUCUACACCCCCCACCCCCGCCUUUUUAAGAAAAGAACAGAUUCAAAACCUGGCCUUAAAAUUAUUACUGUAUCUUUGGAACACAAGCUUGCUUGUGUUUUGUGAUGGUGGUGGUCUGAAAACCUUUGUGUGGGAUUACCUUUUCUUGUGUGUUCAUGUGGGUGCUGCUUUGUGUAUGUGUAUGUCAGAGGACAGCUUGAAGGAGUUUGCUUUUUCCUUCCACCAUCUGGGUUCUUGAGAUGUGGACUUGUCAGGCUUAACAGCAAACACCCUGACCUACUGAGCCAUCCUGCCAGCCCUUUUUUUUGUUUGUUUCUGAGAUGGAGUUCCGCCACGUGGCUCAGACUGGCCUUGCACUCUCAAUUGCCUGAGAGCUGGGGUGACAAGUGUGCAGACCCACGCGUGCACUAUCGGUGGCUCACAUACCCCUUCCCUUGCCACCAAGAGCCUGAGCAGCAGAGAAGGUCAGCUUGCUAAGCAGAAUCCUCCCUGCUGAGCUUGUGAAAGUGGCGGCCAUCAUGGCUUUUGUGCUUCUGUUACCAGCCAGGUGGCUUUCCCGCCACAGAGCUGUGGGCUCGUUAAUGCUCAGGUGCUGUGCUUUAUGAAGGUAAAUGUUGGUGGGACGAGACAUUGAUUCAGCCUCAAGUUCAAGGACGUGGACUGUAUCAAUGGCUCAUCCCUGGAAAUCUGCAGGCAUUGAUCAUUAGCACAGUUUGGUGGCCUCAAACUUGUCUUUCUGCCCUGCUGAGGCCGAAACAAAGACUCGGGAACCAGCCACCAUGGGCUGUGGCUGCUGGUGCCAGAACCAGAAUGAGCAAGGACGAGGAGGAGUCGGGUCUUAAGAAUGAAGUUUCUUUUCUCCUGGUGCCCAGAGGCAAGCAAGACGAGGUCACAGAUGACAGAAGGCCAAGCAGAAUGGGAAGAGGGUUGGUUGCAGGCAGCCUACACUGCAGUCGUUUCCAAACGCGAGCCCAUUCAGAACCACCUGAGAGGUUCCACCCUGUUCCUGGUGAAGCUGGUGUGUGGUGGGACCUGAAAAGCCUCAUUUUUAGCAUCUUAGGUGAUACUGACACUCCUGGAGCAUGCUUUGAGAAUCAGGUAAGUAAUGCUGGACUCCAGCUAAAAGGAAUAACGAAUUUGGGCACAGAGGUAAGUAAGAACAUAAAGAUUCUUCCGGUAAGUCAUGGCAUGAAUAGAGGUAUAGAAAUGAGAGCCCAAACAAGCAUGCUGGCAAGUCCCAGGGCAGUCCCAUCAGAAAAAUGCUGGUGGCAGAGAAGAGUCCGCCUGUACUAGAAGGACUGAGGGGCCACAGGCUGCAGGCAGAAAGGGCCUCCACCAUGGGUGUACUCCAAGAAGGCUGGCAGCGACCUUGUGCACAGUUACCUAAUCGGCUGCGUGGAGGGGGAGUCUGGCUGAGCGGAUUCAGACUGUGACUAAGGGUUGCUGCUGUAGACAGAUACGGGAUAGUAGCCCUUGUGUCACGUGUGCCCCUGAAUUAAAGGGACACAAAUUAGAGUUGUGGGACAGCUGUAAUAGCCAGUGACCCGGAACUGGAUUUUGGGUUACACAAAAGACUCACACUGAAGUAGCACAGUGGAAAGAUGCAGAAGGCACAGCACUGAGGCAAAACCCAGAGCCCCUGGGUACACAUACCCAGCCACAGGAAGGAUACUGCAUAGCCCUGCUCGCAGGGGACUUAGCACUUGCAAGGGGUGACAGGCACAGGUAACACACUGCCAAGGAGCCUGGUGACAGAGAUCCUGAAAGGCUUCCUGGAGGAGAGCUGAGCUGAGCUGCAAGGCACAGGCACAGCGGGCUGGCCUGUGUGGGUCGGAGGAGCUGCAGUCAAAGGCAGACGGUAUGGGAAGGCGGAGCAGCACAGGCAGGCGUGGAGACAGGGUGACACCGGAGGCCCCACCACUGCUGCACUGGAGAUAGAGCAAGGAGUGGAGAGCUGGGCAGGAACAAAGGUCAAGUAUCAUAGAAUGACCUUAGAAUUUGCCGUGGGCAAUGUUGGUUUGGGUUUGAAAUGCCACCCUUAAAGAGCCACGUGUUAAAGGCUGUCUGGCUCGUGGCACUGUUGGGAACUGGGGGGAUAUUUGAGGUAGGCCUGACCGCAGUCAUCGAGGCCAUGCCCUUGCCCGCUCUCUCUUUGCCGCCUUCCAUUACAGGCCCACAACAGCAGGGACAAAUGACUGUGGGCUGAAAGGUCUGAGACCAUGAGCCAAAAUGGUGUCACUACUAAGAUUAUCCUCUCAGGCAUUUCAUUACAGGACAGUUCUAACAUAGGUUGUGUGGAUUGUUAGAGCAGACUGGAAACCGCAACAAUCAGGGUGCUGGGGCGGGGUCCAGAUCUAGGAGAAGCUGGCAUGCAGGGCGGUGGGAGCAGGGGCUGAGCAGGGACUGGGAAGACUCGAGAGCAGAUAGAUGGAGGUGGGGAGCCCAAAACAAUAACUUUGGCCAUACAGUUUACAGGGUGAUGGUCUGCAAUGAUCAUAUUGUAAAUCUGUCUUCUGAUUUGUGAGCAUGAACAAUUGAUGGACCAGAAGACCUCUGUCCCCAAGUUGGAAGCUCAGGGCUGAUACAGGAGACACUAGCAUUUAUGUGGCUGGAAACCGAGGCUUGGUGAACUCAUGGAAGACUGUCAAAAGCACACACAUAGUCUGGGAACACCCGAGAACAAAGGAGAGCAAGCUCAGGAAAAAGGCCGAUCCAAGGAGAACUAGGAAGGCUCAGGGGGCAGGGCCUGUUCAACUGUAGCCUCAGCAAGGAGGUGAGGGAUGGGGCAAAGAAACACAAGGAGCUGCUGAGGAGCUGAAGGAUGGGGAAGGUAUUUUGGUACAUCUCCUGAAACUUCAGUCGGGACAGAAGCUGACGUCUCAUUCUUGUUUUGAAUUUAGGAUUCAGAGUGACAGCUCGGGAGUUACAGGGUUCCUUGUAAUUUUGUUUUUGUUUUUUUGUUUUUCGAGACAGGGUUUCUCUGUAGCUUUGGAGCCUGUCCCGGAACUAGCUCUUGUAGAUCUGCCUGCCUCCUGAGAGUCUUGUAAUUCUUGUGUGUCUCUGUGAGGAUAUAGUGGCAUGGGGGACACAGUGACACUAUGGCAGAGGACAGCCUGGGGAGGCCCAGAAGCAGUAGCAGGGCUGGAGGCUGGGGUAGUAGCCUGCAGUCACUUGCCAAAUGCCUGGGUGUGUAUCUGUGGAACCCGUGUCAUAUCUGAGGGACCCCUGCUGGUCCUGUGUGGUCCCUUGGUGAGGAAGCGAGGGCAGGUAUUCCUGGAAGACCAUGGCAGUGGGGCCAGGCACAGUGUUAUAGUAUUUGCAUUUGCUGAGUUCUGACGCCCCCAGGACCUCACCGGGCUCCCUUUUAAGUCCGUCUAUCCAGAGACAGCUGCAGGAAUAAGACUGCUCCCCUGCCCCAGGAGCUUUACAGUGAGAAGUUUAUUAGAAGGGCGCUUAUAAGAAGAGGGGACACAGCUCCUUAACAUUGGGGUACAAUGCUGUAAGAUACAAAAGUUAGAAAAAUCUAAAACACUAUAAAUACAUGCUUUUUACAAAGAUACUAAAGGCCUGGAUGGCUGAAUAGUGACAGCGACCUCAGCCUCCAGGCAUCCCCACACGAGAGUCCACACCAGCCCACCCGCCCUGGCAACAGCAAAGGCUUCUGGGAUAAAGAUGGCUCUGAUUUCUAUGUGAAGUUUUCAGCGCAGAGGACAUGCUCACUCUCGAGGGCCUGGGCUUGACUAGAGCGGCCUGUUCGCGCAUGCCACCACUUGUUGACUGUCUGGUCUGACUUUUGUGGAUCAGGAGCCAAAAAAGCCACUGCAGCCUUCAUCCGUGUUCAGGGCUGGCUGUGUUCCAGCUCUGCCCAUUGCUGUCCUGGGGGAGAAACCUUCACAACAGUCUUUAAGAAAUUAAAUACCUAUCCAUCUGAAUGGCUUUAAGGACUUGUUACAUAAAUAUGCAUACAGCAGAAUGCUAAACAUCACUUUUGUCUUAACACGAGCCAGCUGCAGGGGCUGUUUCGAAGGUGAUAGCCAUGCAUCAACAUGUUCCUCUCCGUCCAGUACCCCUAUCAGCAAUGCACAUACAUCUUCAUGUUUGAUCCGCAUCCUGGUGUGUGGCUUCCUGCCCACUUGGGAAGUUGCUGAACACUGUAACGACCACUACUUAAAGAGGCCAAGUGAUUGGAACACUGACCACUCAUGGGAAAUACAAGUGCACUCCAACCAGGCUCCAGCUAAUGUAAAGGCACAAACAUCUAGCCACUUCGUCACACAGUGAGAGAUACAGUGCAGCGCUGUGACUGUGGCCCUCCUGGUGCAGGUGCCUUUCCAGCCUCUCAGGGACUUAGAAAAAAUUCAGAAAUGGCAGCUUGGGGCUAAGAAUGAAGUCAGAUAUUUGCCUCUGCCCCAGACAACUCAGGCACAUGCGUGACCACACACGCUACUUAAAACCUUUCUGUGGUCAGAGUGAAGACAUCAAGCCCUGAAAAAUAUAUCCCAUCUCUGAGAAGCAAAUGGGAGAAGAGCAAGACCACAGCACCCUGAAGCACUGCGGCUCAUUUCAAUACAUUAACGGGUAGGCAAAGAAUCACUGACAAUAAAAAUAAAUACAGCACACUCUCAGGACAGCGGAGAAGUCUGCCAGCAGCCUUGCCCUCCCUAUGUUCUUCCUAAGAGAGUCCCUGCUGUGCACUCCAGGCUUUUCUCGAGAUGCCAGGUCUUCCACAGGCCUCCUGGCAGGCGGCCAGCUGCACUGACAUGCCGACACAGGCCUGUAAUCCGCACGGCUGGGCUACCUGCACACGCACCGAGUGAAGUUGGAGGAGCAGGAUACAAAGUUAGCUCCCUGGGCUGCUGAAGAGGAGGAUCUCUGCCCAGCGCCAGCCAUGGGGUCAGUGUCAGCAGAAACCCGAGGCUGGCACAGCACAUGCGGUUAGGGCAACUGAAGGAACCACACUUCAAAGGCCACAGCAGCCAGCUGUCCUUUAGAAGUGCUGUCCGUACAAGACAAGAUGGAAAGCUAACUUGGGAGGACACUUAGAUUACUCGUACCCGAAGGACCUGUGUUCUCCACGAUGGAGCGGCAUAUUCUAGAUUCCAAAGCCUUUUAUUUCCAGGAUGCAGAGAGGACUUGCCUAGAAUUUCCUUCUACAUCCUCUAGCGACUGGCCAAUAAAGCGAGGGGACCAAGGAAGUAACCUUUGGCAAGAAGAGGAAAAAAAAAAAAGAUACUCUCAACUUUGUGCCUCCCAGGAGCAGCAGUCAGAG